This 404-nucleotide ribosomal RNA is filed under the name uncultured bacterium. RNAcentral's name for it is "bacterial SSU rRNA". It matches the Rfam family "Bacterial small subunit ribosomal RNA", at positions 9 to 410 of the family's 1533-position model. The record is from RNAcentral.
GAGUUUGAUCCUGGCUCAGGACGAACGCUGGCGGCGUGCUUAAUACAUGCAAGUCAACUGAACUUAAGGUAGUAAUACUUUAAGGGAGGUGGCGCACGGGUGAGUAACACGUAGGUAAUCUGCCUUUAGGUCUGGCAUAACCACGAGAAAUCGUGGCUAAUUUCAGAUGAUGCAGCGGCUCGACAUCGAGACAGUUGUUAAAUCUUCGGAGCCUAAAGAUGAGCCUGCGUCUGAUUAGGUAGUUGGCGGAGUAAAAGCCCACCAAGCCUGCGAUCAGUAGCUGGUCUGAGAGGAUGAUCAGCCACACUGGAACUGAGACACGGUCCAGACUCCUACGGGAGGCAGCAGUAAGGAAUAUUGCUCAAUGGCCGAAAGGCUUAAGUAGCAUCGCCSCGUGGAUGAUU